Molecule: ribosomal RNA, 492 nt
Filed under: uncultured bacterium
Lineage: Bacteria
Description: partial 16S ribosomal RNA
Rfam family: Bacterial small subunit ribosomal RNA
Source: RNAcentral
AGUGAACGCUGGCGGUAGGCCUAACACAUGCAAGUCGAACGGCAGCACAGUAAGAGCUUGCUCUUACGGGUGGCGAGUGGCGGACGGGUGAGGAAUACAUCGGAAUCUACUUUUUCGUGGGGGAUAACGUAGGGAAACUUACGCUAAUACCGCAUACGACCUACGGGUGAAAGCAGGGGAUCUUCGGACCUUGCGCGAUUGAAUGAGCCGAUGUCGGAUUAGCUAGUUGGCGGGGUAAAGGCCCACCAAGGCGACGAUCCGUAGCUGGUCUGAGAGGAUGAUCGGCGACAUUGGAACUGAGACACGGUCCAGACUCCUGCGGGAGGCAGCAGUGGGGAAUAUGGGACAAUGGGCGCAAGCAUGAUCCAGCCAUACCGCGUGGGUGAAGAAGGCCUUCGGGUUGUAAAGCCCUUUUGUUGGGAAAGAAAAGCAGCAGGUUAAUACCCAGCUGUUCUGACGGUACCCAAAGAAUAAGCACCGGCUAACUUCGUG